CAACAUGCUCACACACUGAACAAACCCAUGGAAAAGACCUCGCUCUCAGCAGAGUGUUACCGGCACACCAGGAAAUCCUUUUUAAUCCCCUUCCUAGUCAAUAUUUAUCCUUCUCCAUCGAGUCCAGCAUCUGUGCUUCCGAAACAGUUACCCUUAUGCCAUCUGGUCCUGUGGCCUAUCAAAACCAGAUCUCAGUGGGGUGAGGAGGAGAAGGUGCCAAAUCCAUGGUGCCUGAAGACAGCUCAGCACAGCCAGCAGUGUGGAGAGCAACAGCCUUGCUAAGCUGGUUCCACAGGAAGCAUUCACAUGCUCUGAGAAGUUGCAUUCCCAUCAGUAGUAGAAUAUUCAUUUUUUUACUUUCCUGAUAUAAGGAGAUUUCUUAAUUAAAAGUUUCACAAGUA
Odocoileus virginianus texanus is the source of this 401-nucleotide non-coding RNA. The record is from RefSeq and is a predicted model, not a curated record. NCBI's taxonomy places the organism in Eukaryota, Metazoa, Chordata, Mammalia, Artiodactyla, Cervidae.